Molecule: ribosomal RNA, 406 nt
Filed under: uncultured bacterium
Lineage: Bacteria
Description: partial 16S ribosomal RNA
Rfam family: Bacterial small subunit ribosomal RNA
Source: RNAcentral
AUUGAACUCUGGCGGCAGGCCUAACACAUGCAAGUCGAACGAGUGGCGGACGGGUGAGUAAUGUCUGGGAAACUGCCUGAUGGAGGGGGAUAACUACUGGAAACGGUAGCUAAUACCGCAUACCCUCGGAUGUGCCCAGAUGGGAUUAGCUUGUAGGUGGGGUAAAGGCUCACCUAGGCGACGAUCCCUAGCUGGUCUGCGAGGAUGCCCAGCCACACUGGAACUGAGACAAGGGCCAGACUCCUACGGGAGGCAGCAGGGGGGAAUAUUGCACAAUGGGCGAAAGCCUGAUGCAGCCAUGCCGCGUGUAUGAAGAAGGCUUUCGGGUUGUAAAGUACUUUCAGCGAGGAGGCGUUACCCGCAGAAGAAGCACCGGCUAACUCCGUGCCAGCCGCCGCGGUAAUUC